UACAGAGGUCUCAAGCGUUGUUCGGAUUCAUUGGGCGUAAAGGGUGCGUAGGCGGCGCGGUAAGUCGGGUGUGAAAUCUUGGAGCUUAACUCCGAAACUGCAUUCGAUACUGCCGUGCUUGAGGACUGGAGAGGAGACUGGAAUUUACGGUGUAGCGGUGAAAUGCGUAGAUAUCGUAAGGAAGACCAGUGGCGAAGGCGGGUCUCUGGACAGUUCCUGACGCUGAGGCACGAAAGCUAGGGGACCAAACAGG
RNAcentral lists this ribosomal RNA (253 nucleotides) under uncultured bacterium. Its description in RNAcentral is "partial 16S ribosomal RNA". It matches the Rfam family "Bacterial small subunit ribosomal RNA", at positions 524 to 776 of the family's 1533-position model. The record is from RNAcentral.